This 68-nucleotide transfer RNA is filed under the name Ictidomys tridecemlineatus (thirteen-lined ground squirrel). RNAcentral describes it as "Spermophilus tridecemlineatus (thirteen-lined ground squirrel) tRNA". It matches the Rfam family "tRNA". Rfam says of the family: Transfer RNA (tRNA) molecules are approximately 80 nucleotides in length. Their secondary structure includes four short double-helical elements and three loops (D, anti-codon, and T loops). The record is from Rfam by way of RNAcentral. Lineage: Eukaryota; Metazoa; Chordata; Mammalia; Rodentia; Sciuridae.
GGGGUUGUGGCUCAGUGGUAGAGCGCUCACCUAGCAUUGUGAGAUGCUGGGUUCAAUCCUCAGCACCA